CCUACGGGAGGCAGCAGUGAGGAAUAUUGGUCAAUGGGCGGAAGCCUGAACCAGCCAAGUAGCGUGCGGGAUGAAGGCCCUACGGGUCGUAAACCGCUUUUGCACGGGGAUAACACCCUCCACUUGUGAAGGUCUGCAGGUCUCGUGCGAAUAAGGGCCGGCAAAUUCCGUGCCAGCAGCCGCGGUAAUACGGAGGGCCCGCGCGUUAUCCGGAUUCAUUGGGCUUAAAGGGAGCGUAGGCGGGCGUUCAAGUCAGCGGUAAAAUCACGCGGCGAAACCGCGGCCCGCGGUUGAAACUGGACGCCUUGAGUUAACAACAGGCAGGCGGAAUUCGUGGUGUAGCGGUGAAAUGCAUAGAUAUCACGAGGAACCCCGAUUGCGAAGGCGGGUUCCUGGACAUUAACUGACGCUGAGGCACGAAGGCCAGGGGAGCGAAAGGGAUUAGAUACCCUAGUAGUC
This 459-nucleotide ribosomal RNA is filed under the name uncultured bacterium. RNAcentral's name for it is "partial 16S ribosomal RNA". It matches the Rfam family "Bacterial small subunit ribosomal RNA", at positions 338 to 795 of the family's 1533-position model. The record is from RNAcentral.